GUUAUAAAACAAGUGAAACUGCGAGCUACUGCUCACUGAUGAUACCCCCGCCGCAAGUGGAUAAUAUUAAUAGUGUAAAAAUAUGCAAGUGUUCGGUAAACAGGAAGUUGUCGAGUGAUGAAUCUGAAAACGCAUCACACGGUAUAGCUGACUUAUAUAAAUCCUGAAACCAAAUUUCAGAAAUCCUUGUAUUGUAGUUCCUGAGAAAAAUGUGACGAAAAUUUUCAACUUGGCUAUCAUGUGUAAAAUCAUACAAGUGUUCGGUAAACAGGAAGUUGUCAAGUGAUCAAUCUGAAAAUGCAUCACACGGUAUAGCUGACUUAGAUAAACCCUGAAACCAAAUUUCAGAAAUCCUUGUAUUGUAGUUCCUGAGAAAAAUGCGACGAAAAAUAUUCAUGGGACGGACUGACUGACGGACUUAUGGACUGACGGAAGGACAGACAGAGGUAAAACAGUAUACCCCCCUUUUU
Molecule: long non-coding RNA, 470 nt
Filed under: Mytilus galloprovincialis (Mediterranean mussel)
Lineage: Eukaryota; Metazoa; Mollusca; Bivalvia; Mytilida; Mytilidae
Source: RNAcentral